GUACUCACUGUUAAAAUUGUUUAAAACAUGAGGUAGUUCUUUGUCUUUGCAAUCAUCUUCAAUUGUCAGUACUUAUUUGAAACACGUUGAACCUGAAAAUGCAUAAAUUUGAGAAGGACCAGCCUGUGGGCGCUCCUCUGCUGUUAAUAAGUACAUCAAUUCCAUACAAAA
This is a long non-coding RNA of Octopus sinensis (East Asian common octopus), 171 nucleotides long. RefSeq lists it as uncharacterized. The transcript has 3 exons. The record is from RefSeq and is a predicted model, not a curated record. NCBI's taxonomy places the organism in Eukaryota, Metazoa, Mollusca, Cephalopoda, Octopoda, Octopodidae.